GCACAGAUGGUGGAACGGAAGACACGCCAGCUUCAGGUGCUGGUGCCCGUAAGGGCUUGCGAGUUCAAGUCUCGCUCUGUGCACCA
This 86-nucleotide transfer RNA is filed under the name Clostridia bacterium. RNAcentral describes it as "tRNA-Leu". It matches the Rfam family "tRNA". From Rfam's summary of the family: Transfer RNA (tRNA) molecules are approximately 80 nucleotides in length. Their secondary structure includes four short double-helical elements and three loops (D, anti-codon, and T loops). Lineage: Bacteria; Bacillati; Bacillota; Clostridia. The record is from RNAcentral.